GGCAUGGAGGAGGACGAGGAUGAGACCGCCUCCAAUUCGCCGCGGCGAGAGGAUUAGAGCAGCUGACCUGACCUCAAUCAUGGUCCCUGUAAUUUUCUAAUGAGUGCCCCGUUAAUUCGUCGAACCGCUAAUGUGGUAGCACUAGUAGUACCUCGUAGUAAUCAUCAGUCCCAACUUAUCAGGAGAAACAAACUGAGCUCAAGCAAUCAGCAAACCGAGCUCAAGCAAUCAAACACCUCACCAUGUUUGACGAGUGAGCCGAGAGAGCUCACUGUGAAUCAAAGAGUUCAUGUUCCAAG
This 299-nucleotide long non-coding RNA is filed under the name Triticum aestivum (bread wheat). Its description in RNAcentral is "long non-coding RNA (TAES_LNC000703)". The record is from RNAcentral. Lineage: Eukaryota; Viridiplantae; Streptophyta; Magnoliopsida; Poales; Poaceae.